This 468-nucleotide ribosomal RNA is filed under the name uncultured bacterium. Its description in RNAcentral is "partial 16S ribosomal RNA". It matches the Rfam family "Bacterial small subunit ribosomal RNA", at positions 28 to 507 of the family's 1533-position model. The record is from RNAcentral.
GACGAACGCUGGCGGCGUGCUUAACACAUGCAAGUCGAACGGAAAGGCCCUGCUUUUGUGGGGUGCUCGAGUGGCGAACGGGUGAGUAACACGUGAGUAACCUGCCCUUGACUUUGGGAUAACUUCAGGAAACUGGGGCUAAUACCGGAUAGGAGCUCCUGCUGCAUGGUGGGGGUUGGAAAGUUUCGGCGGUUGGGGAUGGACUCGCGGCUUAUCAGCUUGUUGGUGGGGUAGUGGCUUACCAAGGCUUUGACGGGUAGCCGGCCUGAGAGGGUGACCGGCCACAUUGGGACUGAGGUAGGGGCAAGACUGCAUCGGGAGGCAGCAGUGGGAGAUAGUGCGCAAUGGGCGGAGGCAGUGUGCAGCAACGCCGCGUGCGGGAUGACGGCCUUCGGGGUGUAAACCUCUUGCGCCUGUGACGAAGCGUGAGUGACGGUAAUGGGUAAAGAAGCACCGGCUAACUACGUG